CUUAGCUUGCUAAGGCUGAUGGCGACCGGCGCACGGGUGAGUAACACGUAUCCAACCUGCCGUCUACUCUUGGCCAGCCUUCUGAAAGGAAGAUUAAUCCAGGAUGGCAUCAUGAGUUCACAUGUCCGCAUGAUUAAAGGUAUUUUCCGGUAGACGAUGGGGAUGCGUUCCAUUAGAUAGUAGGCGGGGUAACGGCCCACCUAGUCAACGAUGGAUAGGGGUUCUGAGAGGAAGGUCCCCCACAUUGGAACUGAGACACGGUCCAAACUCCUACGGGAGGCAGCAGUGAGGAAUAUUGGUCAAUGGGCGAUGGCCUGAACCAGCCAAGUAGCGUGAAGGAUGACUGCCCUAUGGGUUGUAAACUUCUUUUAUAAAGGAAUAAAGUCGGGUAUGCAUACCCGUUUGCAUGUACUUUAUGAAUAAGGAUCGGCUAACUCCGUGCCAGCAGCCGCGGUAAUACGGAGGAUCCGAGCGUUAUCCGGAUUUAUUGGGUUUAAAGGGAGCGUAGAUGGAUGUUUAAGUCAGUUGUGAAAGUUUGCGGCUCAACCGUAAAAUUGCAGUUGAUACUGGAUGUCUUGAGUGCAGUUGAGGCCAGGCGGAAUUCGUGGUGUAGCGGUGAAAUGCUUAGAUAUCACGAAGAACUCCGAUUGCGAAGGCAGCCUGCUAAGCUGCAAC
RNAcentral lists this ribosomal RNA (675 nucleotides) under uncultured Bacteroidales bacterium. Its description in RNAcentral is "bacterial SSU rRNA". It matches the Rfam family "Bacterial small subunit ribosomal RNA", at positions 71 to 740 of the family's 1533-position model. Lineage: Bacteria; Pseudomonadati; Bacteroidota; Bacteroidia; Bacteroidales. The record is from RNAcentral.